UGGGGAAUAUUGCACAAUGGGCGCAAGCCUGAUGCAGCAACGCCGCGUGAACGAUGAAGGUCUUCGGAUCGUAAAGUUCUGUUGCAGGGGAAGAUAAUGACGGUACCCUGUGAGGAAGCCCCGGCUAACUACGUGCCAGCAGCCGCGGUAAUACGUAGGGGGCUAGCGUUAUCCGGAUUUACUGGGCGUAAAGGGUGCGUAGGUGGUCUUUCAAGUCGGUGGUUAAAGGCUACGGCUCAACCGUAGUUAGCCUCCGAAACUGGAAGACUUGAGUGCAGGAGAGGAAAGUGGAAUUACCAGUGUAGCGGUGAAAUGCGUAGAUAUUGGGAGGAACACCAGUAGCGAAGGCGGCUUUCUGGACUGCAACUGACACUGAGGCACGAAAGCGUGGGUAGCAAACAGG
This 403-nucleotide ribosomal RNA is filed under the name Verrucomicrobiota bacterium. RNAcentral's name for it is "Verrucomicrobia bacterium partial 16S ribosomal RNA". It matches the Rfam family "Bacterial small subunit ribosomal RNA", at positions 355 to 776 of the family's 1533-position model. Lineage: Bacteria; Pseudomonadati; Verrucomicrobiota. The record is from RNAcentral.